CCUACGGGAGGCAGCAGUGGGGAAUAUUGCACAAUGGUGUAAACCCUGAUGCAGCGACGCCGCGUGAGUGAAGAAGUAUUUCGGUAUGUAAAGCUCUAUCCGCAGGGAAGAAAAUGACGGUACCUGACUAAUAAGCCUCGGAUAACGACGUGCCAACAGCCGCGGGAAUACGUAGGGGGCAAGCGUUAUCCGGCUUUACUGGGUGUAAAGGGAGCGUAGGCGGCAAGGUAAGCCAGAAUUGAAAGGCCGCGGCGAAACUGCGGGACUGCUUUUGAAACUAUCUAGCUAGAUUGCAGGAGAGGUAAGUGGAAUUCCUAGUGGAGCGGUGAAAUGCGUAGAUAUUAGGAGGAACACCAGUGGCGAAGGCGGCUUACUGGACUGUAAAUGACGCUGAGGCUCGAAAGCGUGGGGAUCAAACAGGAUUAGAUACCCUUGUAGUC
This 440-nucleotide ribosomal RNA is filed under the name uncultured bacterium. RNAcentral describes it as "partial 16S ribosomal RNA". It matches the Rfam family "Bacterial small subunit ribosomal RNA", at positions 338 to 795 of the family's 1533-position model. The record is from RNAcentral.